Molecule: ribosomal RNA, 291 nt
Filed under: uncultured bacterium
Lineage: Bacteria
Description: partial 16S ribosomal RNA
Rfam family: Bacterial small subunit ribosomal RNA
Source: RNAcentral
GUGUCAGCAGCCGCGGUAAUACGUAGGGGGCAAGCGUUGUCCGGAAUUAUUGGGCGUAAAGCGCGCGCAGGCGGUUAAUUAAGUUGGGUGUUUAAGCCCGGGGCUCAACCCCGGUUCGCAUCCAAAACUGGUUGACUUGAGUGUAGGAGAGGAAAGUGGAAUUCCACGUGUAGCGGUGAAAUGCGUAGAGAUGUGGAGGAACACCAGUGGCGAAGGCGACUUUCUGGCCUAUAACUGACGCUGAGGCGCGAAAGCGUGGGGAGCAAACAGGAUUAGAUACCCUGGUAGUCC